AUUGAACGCUGGCGGCAUGCCUUACACAUGCAAGUCGAACGUCAGCACGGGUUCUUGCACCUGUUGGCGAAUGGCGAACGGGUGAGUAAUACAUCGGAACAUGUCCUGUAGUGGGGGGUAGCCCGGCGAAAGCCGGAUUAAUACCGCAUACGAUCUACGAAGGAAAUCGGGGGACCUUCGGGCCUCGCGCUAUAGAGUUUGCCGAUGGCUGGUUAGCUAGUUGGUGGGGUAAAGGCCUACCAAGGCGACGAUCAGUAGCUGGUCUGAGAGGACGACCAGCCACACUGGGACUGAGAGACGGCCCAGACUCCUACGGGAGGAAGCAGUGGGGAAUUUUGGACAAUGGGAGAAAGCCUGAUCCAGCAAUGCCGCGUGUGUGAAGAAGGCCUUCGGGUUGUAAAGCACUUUUGUCCGGAAAGAAAUCCUUGGCCCUAAUACGGUCGGGGGAUGACGGUACCGGAAGAAUAAGCAACGGCUAACUACGUG
Molecule: ribosomal RNA, 486 nt
Filed under: uncultured bacterium
Lineage: Bacteria
Description: partial 16S ribosomal RNA
Rfam family: Bacterial small subunit ribosomal RNA
Source: RNAcentral